Long non-coding RNA from Liolophura sinensis, 455 nucleotides. RefSeq lists it as uncharacterized. Lineage: Eukaryota; Metazoa; Mollusca; Polyplacophora; Chitonida; Chitonidae. The transcript has 2 exons. The record is from RefSeq and is a predicted model, not a curated record.
CCCUGUCCAGCCAUAGAUACAUCAUUUACAGACUGGGAAAAAUACGACAACACUAUGUUUUCUCGAUGGAUGGUGCUUACUGUUUUGGUUGUUUUGGGAGGUCUUGUCGUACAGCCACUACAUAGCAAUGCCUCACCGCCGCCGCCUACAAGGACAACUGUUGCUUACACAACCACCCCAGGCUGUGACCCUGCGGACGAAUCCACUUACUAUGACGAGGUUUCCGGGUGUCGUGCUGGAUGCACGUGUAUGGGCGAUGAACUGAUAUGCUGGGAUUCCGAAGAAUGCUUCCACCGAUAAUAGGAGAUAUACACCUGAAAAGAAUAAAUAUGGAAUGUCAACGGCACCCUCUCCGUGCACUGCGUGUCCAGAAAUGCAUGCUUCCCUUGAAGAGAAUAUGCCUAAAGAUUUGUCUCUCGCAACAGAUUUCAAGUAAUAAAAAGUAGCAAAAGCUU